Molecule: ribosomal RNA, 473 nt
Filed under: uncultured bacterium
Lineage: Bacteria
Description: partial 16S ribosomal RNA
Rfam family: Bacterial small subunit ribosomal RNA
Source: RNAcentral
GAUAAACGCUGGCGGCGCACCUAAGACAUGCAAGUUGAACGGACUUAAUCGAAAUAUUUAUAUUUUGAAGCGGUUAGUGGCGGACUGGUGAGUAACGCGUAAGGAACCUGCCUAUUAGAGGGGAAUAACAGUGAGAAAUCAUUGCUAAUACCGCAUAUGCCAUAGAUAUCACAUGAUAACAGUGGGAAAGGAGCAAUCCGCUAAUAGAUGGCCUUGCGUCUGAUUAGAUAGUUGGUGGGGUAACGGCCUACCAAGUCGACGAUCAGUAGCCGGACUGAGAGGUUGAACGGCCACAUUGGGACUGAGAUACGGCCCAGACUCCUACGGGAGGCAGCAGUCGGGAAUAUUGCGCAAUGGAGGAAACUCUGACGCAGUGACGCCGCGUAUAGGAAGAAGGUUUUCGGAUUGUAAACUAUUGUCGUUAGGGAAGAGAAAGGACAGUACCUAAGGAGGAAGCUCCGGCUAACUACGUG